Molecule: microRNA precursor, 72 nt
Filed under: Medicago truncatula (barrel medic)
Lineage: Eukaryota; Viridiplantae; Streptophyta; Magnoliopsida; Fabales; Fabaceae
Description: MIR2629 microRNA precursor family
Rfam family: MIR2629 microRNA precursor family
Source: Rfam by way of RNAcentral
AUAAUCAGAUUUCCUCGGCAGUUAACUGCAGCCGGGUUUCUUAAACUUCGGCAGUUAACUGCCAAGGGGCAA